CGGAGGGUUGCAGAUGGACUUCAGAUGUGGGAUCAGGGGAAGAGUCUACUUGAGGAAAGGCAUCUUGGCAGAGGCCAAAGUCAAGGGUGGAACCUUGCCGCAUCCUCCAGAGGGAACAGACACUGUGUCCUGACACAGAAGAAGAAUGGAAGAGGCCCUGAGAGGAAGGUCCUUGUGCAAGUGAUCGGUGAGGAUGGGCUCCCAGAAGAAACUGGCCCCAGGAAUGCGGAAGGCAGGCUGGGGAACGGAAGAAACCAAAUGACGCUGUGACUGAAAUGAAGUUUACAAGGCAGAGACUUUGCAUCCUCAUCCAUGUUCUUCACCAGAUAUGGGACCGUGGGGCUUCUGGCUCUUCCUCAAUGUCAAAAUGACCAUGAAAGGUGCAAGACAAGGAAAACUUCACUCUGGAAGGCCAACCCUCUGUCAAGGAACCAUAGACUUCUCCAGAUAGACCAGGAAGAGGCAUCCUCAGCAAGAAGAACGUGGACAUUUCUUGAGCCUCUCACAAAAUGGCAUUAAAAUGGACAUCAUUUUCAAUGAUCCAAACAUUGUA
Long non-coding RNA from Chinchilla lanigera (long-tailed chinchilla), 553 nucleotides. RefSeq lists it as uncharacterized. The transcript has 6 exons. NCBI's taxonomy places the organism in Eukaryota, Metazoa, Chordata, Mammalia, Rodentia, Chinchillidae. The record is from RefSeq and is a predicted model, not a curated record.